This is a non-coding RNA of Meleagris gallopavo (turkey), 651 nucleotides long. NCBI's taxonomy places the organism in Eukaryota, Metazoa, Chordata, Aves, Galliformes, Phasianidae. The record is from RefSeq and is a predicted model, not a curated record.
AUGAAACUGAGAAGGCUUGGUGGAACUGACUUUCACAUCACCACAAAUGGAGCCAAUGCAGCCCUGUCCAGCAGCCAGCUAUCCAGACAGAACCAUUGCAACAUCCUUACCACAAGGAAACAGUGGGGAGCAUUUCUGGUUUCCACUUUCUAUAGCUUUUUCUAAGGAAACACCAGGAUUUAUAAGAAAAUGAGGUGAAGAGAUCAACUGAUUGACCCAAAGGCUUGAAGAGAGUCAUAGCCAGAGCUGGGACUCAGUUUCAGGAUUAGUCUUGUGCUCAGAACAAUUCCUCAUGCCUCCCCUCUGAAGACAAACUACUGCCAGUACCAGUCCAGCUCUGUCAUCCUUCAGGGCAUUUUCUUUCCUGAACUGAGAGGAGCUGUGAGAACAACUUUCUCACCACAGCCAACAAUCCUUCAUCUGCUGGGUUAUUAAUGCCUGGGCAAUGACUGCUCUUGGAGCAGUCUAUUUGGAUAAUUGGGCUUUAAAAAUGUGCUUUGAGGAAAGUGUUGCUUUUUGACUAAUGAAUGUUUACAGGAAUAAAUAUGUUAAAAUAAUGCAUCAGUAUUCUUCUCAUAAAUAGCUGCUCUCAUUUAUAGCCAUUUUCUGAAACCAGGGAAUCAACAGGAGAGGCAGAUGAAACAACUGUAA